Phascolarctos cinereus (koala) is the source of this 1103-nucleotide long non-coding RNA. RefSeq lists it as uncharacterized. The record is from RefSeq and is a predicted model, not a curated record. Lineage: Eukaryota; Metazoa; Chordata; Mammalia; Diprotodontia; Phascolarctidae.
GUUCAUUUUACAGAGAAGGAAACUGAGUCAAACAGAGCUCCAGCUCCAGUCCCUUGAAAUCCCUAAGAGACACCAAGUGCUCCCAGAUACUCACAUGAUGACAAACCACCUUCAGACACAACCAUUCUCUGCUUCCUGGUUGCAAAAAAGGCAGCAGAGUGCCCAGAUGAGGGCAUGGACAUGGAGAGGUUUAUGGAGCCAAUGGGAUUGGGCAAGGACUUCUUCAGCAUCUGCUAUCCUCCAGGCACUGGACUGGUCCUUGGAAGAGGCCUGAGCAGCUCCACCAACCCCAUCCACCAACGGAUCAAUCCCCACUGUAACCAGCCUGAUAAGAAGUGAACCAGCUUGUCAUCGGAGACUUCUCUGGCCUCUCAAAUCAGCAGCGGAUUCUACUUCAGGCAGCUUUCACUAGAAGAUGGUGCCUGCCAUCAAGCCUAAGUUUUCCUCUUUAUAACUGCUACCCACGGCCUUCCUGCUUCUGCCCUCUGGAGUCAAAUAGAACCUGGCUAAUCCUUCCCCCACAUAACACCCCUUCACAUAUUAGAAAACAGAAGCCUUCUCCCCUCCGGUAUAACCAUGCACACUCCCAGCCUUCUUUUGGACAGCCAUCAUUUCCCUCUUCUUCAGUGUCCUGAAGGGCCAUGACCAGACUCGGUUGUUCAGCAAGCCUAGAACAAGCUCCUCCCAAGUGCCAGGCACUGGGAGUACCAAGACAAAAAUAAAAUAGUCCCUGCCCUCAAGGAGCUUACGUUUUAUUAUUUUGUAACACCAUAUACUGAACCUAGGACUCUCACAGACACCUGUGUGUUCAGAUAGCUCUGCUAUUACUAAACCGGGUUGCUGCCUCUUUUGCUAUUAAUAUUCACUAAGAAGCUUAGUUCACAAUUGAAUCCAUCGGCUCAGCAUGAUGCCACAGGGUCAUUUCCCCACGUUUCCACACCUCUCCUCUCCUAUACCCUACACUGCCUUGUCUAAUUCUCUUUCUCAAGAGAUUAAACAUCUGCAAUUAAAUUAUACACAUCCAGAAGAUGAUGAACUUCUGGGGGCUAGGUAGGGAUGCAGUUUUGUACAACUUUGUAUGUCCUAUAGUACUCAACACAGUG